Megalobrama amblycephala (Wuchang bream) is the source of this 5270-nucleotide long non-coding RNA. RefSeq lists it as uncharacterized. NCBI's taxonomy places the organism in Eukaryota, Metazoa, Chordata, Actinopteri, Cypriniformes, Xenocyprididae. The record is from RefSeq and is a predicted model, not a curated record. The transcript is spliced from 5 exons.
UGACAAAAGAAUGACAGAGGUCAGAUGUAGAACCAUAAUUAUUAUCCUACAGAAACACACACAAACACAAUUAAUUAUAUUUGUGUACUUACUGUUACCAUUUCACAAAACCAUACAGUAAUGUUCACGCUUGGCUAUAUGCACUGGUCGGGUGACGUGCCUAUAAAGUAAUAUUGUACAAUGAGGAGGAUAUAAGAGACAUUAAUAAUAAUUAUGGUUCUACAUCAUUCUUUUGUCAAUGAUAGAGUCGUAUUGCCACACUUUUUGCCUGCUGCAUUUUCGGCACCUUGAAAUGACAAAGGCAAAAAGGUUUUGUUGAAAAAACAAAUGGUAAUCAAUAAAUACAAGUAUUGCAUUUGAUCUAAGGCCUUGUGUAUUUAUAGGAACCCAUAACUUAUGUACUAGGCAGGGUUUCACAGAAUCUGGAAUCAACAUUAACUUGUGUAUGUGUAUCACACUGGCCAUUGUAAUAUAGCACAAGAGAGAGGUUGGUUGGAUAACCACACAGCUGUGGUACAGCCAUAGCCAAGAAGCUGAAGGUUGAUAAAUUUAUUAUCUUCAAACUGAUGGAACAUUGGUGUAGCUCAAUUCAAUGCAAAAUGCAGAGUGGUAGAUAACACCAGCGCAAACAGUCAGAGUGAGGAAAUCCAAGGACAUCUUCAGUCAAAUAGAAUCACUGACCAUCUCUCGACCAAUCAGAAUAUAAUAGAUAAUUUGACUGGACCUGACUGUUGUAUCAAAAUGAUCUAAAUCAAAGAGAACCAAUUCAUCUAAGGAAAUAAGUAUUUGCCUAAUUACAAAAAAAUUAAGAAAGUCACUUAAGUUCACUUUACCCUUUUUUUUCUGGGUGAAGGGUAUGAAACAGAAAAUAAAAAAAACUUUACAGCAUGGCAUUGCUAACUAUAAUGUCAUCAAAAACCAAUUGGAAUCACCUAGCAGUGCCAAUAAGGCUCUGGGAAGUGUUUUUGUGUGCCUUUUAGGUAGAUAGUCCACUAGUUUUACAUCAAAAACUACAUAGUGUUUAUUUAAACCAUAAUUAAUUCAGCAUAAGAGAUUGGGUGCAAGAAAAUUUACUUUACCCUUCUUUCUUUUUGGGGGGUUUGGUUUGGGAGUCUGAAAAUUGCUGGGGCUGUGGCUGGGUCGGGACCUGGAGCUGUAUCUGGGGCUGAUGGUUGUCCGGAGACUCUGAGGUCCGCAGCUAAUUUGCUGGGGCUGUGGCUGGGUCGGGACCUGGGGCUGAUGGUGCACCGGAGACUCUGGGGGUUGGGGCUCUGUUGUGGAGGAUAUGCUCAUGCUGAGCCUUAUUCUGGAGCUGUUGGAUAUGCUGGUCAGGCUGGGGCUGGAGCUGAGACAUCUGUUAAGAAGAAGUCCGUUCUGCAGCUGGAGGGUUGCAGGUUCGAGUCCAGCUCUGCCUGCCCCCAUCAAAGUGUCCUUGAGCAAGAUACUGAACCCAAAACUGCUCCCAGUGUGCAGGUUUGCACCUUGCAUGGCAGCAACCGGUGUAUGCAUGUGUGGGUGAAUGCAAGGCAUACAUUAUAAAGUGUUUUAAGUGCUCAGAGGAAUCUGCUACAAGGAAAUUGGUCACCAUUAUUAGAAAGCUCAUCAGUUGCAUAUGUUAAAUGUAUCUGUUAUAAGCGAAUUGAGAGAACAUGAGUAAUUUUGGGCACAGUUCACAUCCAUCCAAAUGUCGUCCUGUUUAGGAUAAGUCAAGGUCUGUGGGAUGCAUGCAUAGCGUGAAAGGAAAAUUUUAUAAAACUGUAGAUUCAGUGACAAGAUGACAGAAUCUUUGACCAACCAAAAGGAAAACUCCAGCGUAAAUCAACCCAUAUCCCUAUUCCUCGAAAUCAGUGAGUGUUGUCGUUAGGUAGAGAAACAAGAAAAUUUGAUACAACAAGAAUCGAAUAGCACAAUGGCAGUUAACGCUAAGUAAUGAGUUUCAGUUUUCUGUGAUUCAGUUAUGGUCAGCUCCCACUUCGCAAAUUUGGUCUAUGUCAAUUUUCUUUGUUCCUGUUCCUACUGACAGCAUUCUGUGAAUCUCAAGCAACAGAAAUAUGGGUUGAUUCAUGCCAGAUUGUUCUACGCAGUUAGAAAUUAUAAUGUUGAUUGUUUGAUCAUAGGAUAGUAUUGAUGGUAAUGUAAUGUAAUGUGCUUUGAGCUUCAUAUUGACUACCAUCCAAUUCAUGAAGCAUGAGUACUCUUGCUGCACUCUGCCUCAAUCUUUUUACUUUUGCUGAGGCUUGCAUAGCAGGCGAUGCAGCACUUCCUAAUGGCCUGGUUCUCAACCUGGCAAGCAGGGCAAUGUCUGAAUAUUGGCUUUGUCAUUCUGAAAUAUACAAUACACACACACAAAGGCUAUUACAAUAUUUUAAUAUGUUACGAUAUUUUGAAUUAAGCACAUUUUUAAGGCAAACAGGUUGUCAUACAAAUAUAACCACAACAAACACAUACAGAAAUAGCCUAAAGGCACAUUCAAUGUCAAAAUUAAAUUCAUUUAGACCAACCCAACUGUGAAUGGACACUGUUGCCCUACUAUUAGGCUUGGAAUAAGGUCUUUAUUACCGUCAAAAAUACACAGGUCUGAAUGGUUUCAGUCAUUGAAUAUACAUGUGGAAGCCGUCUAACACAAACAAAGCCAUUCUUGAAUGAAACACUCCCUGUCAUACCAAAGGCACUGGGAUGGCUUGAUAGUCUCAGGUUAUCUACUGUUGAUCUAAAAAUUGGGUAGGUGAUGUCAGUCAGGGAAAUUUCACACUAUGAAAGAAAAAAAAAACACUUACUGGAUUACCAAUGAUGAACUUCAUCAGCAAUUAGGGUAUAUUUUAGCUGGACUAAUUCCAUGUCUUGAGUGAUUUUAAACACUCUUAAAUAGCCACGCUCUACAGUGUAUACAUCAUCCAAACAAACACAGCAUUGAAACUCCUGGCCGAGAGUUUUGUUAAACGACACCUAUUCAGCUUUCGACUGAAGUACUGAACAGUGUUGUAGAGUUGAACACACUAGCCUAAAGGCCUGUUCACACCGGGACGAAUAUCGCGCGCGAUUUUCGCCGACGUUUAACGCCUCGUGACUAAACAACGGCCAAUGUGUCAAUGUGAGUGUGCACACCGACGCGAAAAACGCAAGGCGUAAAAGCGUCAUUUUUUAAAAAAACGCCUCGGGUUCUGUUUUUUGGUUUGACGCGCCGCGUUAAAAACUGGCCGACCAAUAAGAUUGGCGCAUUUGUUCACGUGUCUGGAGCUGCUGAAGUCACAGUAAAACACGACUUGGUGGCGCUCAAGCACAAAACAGUCUUGCCGAGCACACAUUGAUACAAAGACGACCAAGAGGAAGUAAGUAGACAAAGAAGACCCCUACAAACUAUCGGUUAUGGGUGUGGGCUAUGGGUGCUCUGCCACUUCUUGGCCAUACCAAUAGUUGUGUAAUAUUUCUGUAUUUUUGCUGUUUUUUUUUUCUUUUACAUUCAAGAAAUAUAGUUGAGAGUGUCUAUUUCAUAAAUGUUUAUUUGCACUACCAUUUCUGACUACCAUCUCUCAUAUAUAUGCCAUUUCUAAUAUCUGCAUUUUUUAUCUUCUUUAACUUUAUUAAUAUCAUAAAUAUGUUUAAUUGUACUACCGUUCAGCACCAGCGCCACAUACUGUCAGGGAGUGAAUUUGCACGUUCACUCUGCGCAUUGCCAGUGAAAAUCGCUUGGGUGUGAACACAAAAAAACGUCUCGAAAAACGCUGGCGAAACGCGUGCGAUAUUCGUCCCGGUGUGUACAGGCCUUAAUGCUGCACUUGGUGAAAACACUAUAGACCACAAGCUAGAGGCAUUAAAAUCCCCACAACCUGUUACAGACCCAUGAAUGGAUUUACAUUGAAAAUCAAUGCGUUUCAAAAACAUUCAAUACAAUGGAAAUGCAUUUCAGGAACUUUCCUUGACUUAAACUGAAGGUGGGACGUGUGUUUAAUCACAUCUAGACAAGAUAAGCUUUCUGAAAAUGUAUAGUUUAUAUGGAUUUGAAGUUAGCUUACCCUAUUCCCAAGAUGCACGUAGACUAAUCUUUAAUGUUACUGUCUAGAAUACUGUAAGGUGACCAGAUUUCUGAAAUGGAAACCAGGGACACUUCCAUUUUUUUUUUAUGUUUUUAUUUUAAAUUGUUGUGGGUCUCUUAUAUUAUUACAUUAAUAAUUAUUAUGAUUUAGUUUGAUUAUUAGGAUUUUUGCUCUGGUUUUAAUACAAUUUACCAAAAUACUAUUACAAGAUUAAUAAAGCAUUGUAAAAGCAGUUCAAAACAAUAUGCUUGUUAUAACACUAUAACACAAGUAUGACUUUACAAAAUGACUUUACAUUACAAAAAUAAAACAUAAGUAUAAGAUGAUAAGACAAAUAAAACGCCAUUUAACAAAUAUUUUUUAACAUUUUAGAUUUAAUAUUUUACUUUUAACAAUCUGUUUUUACAAUACAGAAAUUACAACUGUUUUAACUUUUAACUAUUUUUAACUAUUGUUUUGCAUUUUAGACUUAUUUUAAGCACAAAGUAAGUUGCACAUGUAUUAUUUUUUACUUUAUUUUAUUAUUAUCACCUGUACCACGUGAUAUAGUUAAAAAAUUAGUUCACUUUCAAAUAAAAAUUUCCUGAUAAUUUACUCACAGGCGCUUCUCUUCUGAAAUGCUUCUAGUGUGAGUUGACCGCGUAGAGGACGGAACAAAACCUUAACGUAACGCACCGCAGACGUGUGCAGUGUAAACGAGGCUUAAAAAAGCAUUGUCCGGAGUCCUCCACUGGGAAGCGAAUAUAGAGGCCGGACCUCUUGGAACUUUAAUUGAAUAGACCAAGCAAAGUGACAGAAUCCUGACACUCAGGCAUCGUUGUAAACUGCCAAAUGAAAAAAAUGUGGAGAGUUAGAAAUGAAACGUCUAGAUAAAAUGUGCAAUAAAAAAAGGGAAAAAAAUGUAUUACCAUUGCAUCAUGCAGUGCAAAAAGGAAGUAGAUUGACGCAGGCAGCAGAAAUAAUAUGUGUAAAUGUAUAUUAUGAGUGAAAAGGGCAAGUUGCCGGUCCUGUUCACCUCCGGUAGGCUAGUAGAUUUCACAGAUCAUAAUAAUGAUGUUAACGACUCAGGGAAGUGUUAUGGGUUUCUCCCUCGGCCGAAAUCGCGUUCCGGCCCUAGUGAAAAAAAAGUAUACUUUAUUGUAUUUGAAAUAUAUUCCCUUUUUCUAUAGUACACUGCAAAUAUACUAACAAAAAAUGUACUAUCAUUAAAUAUAUAAAAAGUAUAUUAGUAUCAUA